This 366-nucleotide unclassified non-coding RNA is filed under the name soil metagenome. RNAcentral describes it as "partial contains 5.8S ribosomal RNA, internal transcribed spacer 2, and large subunit ribosomal RNA". The stretch from base 1 to 119 matches the Rfam family "5.8S ribosomal RNA", at positions 35 to 154 of the family's 154-position model. The record is from RNAcentral.
GAUGAAGAACGUAGCGAAACGCGAAAGGUAAUGCGAAUUGCAGAAUCAGUGAGUCAUCGAAUCUUUGAACGCACAUUGCGCCUCUCGGUAUUCCGGGAGGCACGCCUGUUCGAGCGCCAUUACACACCCCAAGCUUGGCUUGAUGUUGGACUGCGUCUGUGAAAGGACGGGUCUGGAACGCGUUGGCGCCGCCGACGGACCACGAGCGUAGCAAGACGCAAGUCAUCGCUCGGUUGGCUCUGGACGGCGGGCAGCCUGCGGCACCUGGUAACACGGGAGCCGGGCACAGCGCAAGCUGUUACACAGUUUGGCCUCGGAUCAGGCGGGGAUACCCGCUGAACUUAAGCAUAUCAAUAAGCGGAGGGA